This 2902-nucleotide ribosomal RNA is filed under the name Escherichia coli. Its description in RNAcentral is "23S ribosomal RNA". It matches the Rfam family "Bacterial large subunit ribosomal RNA". The record is from RNAcentral. Lineage: Bacteria; Pseudomonadati; Pseudomonadota; Gammaproteobacteria; Enterobacterales; Enterobacteriaceae.
UUAAGCGACUAAGCGUACACGGUGGAUGCCCUGGCAGUCAGAGGCGAUGAAGGACGUGCUAAUCUGCGAUAAGCGUCGGUGAGGUGAUAUGAACCGUUAUAACCGGCGAUUUCCGAAUGGGGAAACCCAGUGUGUUUCGACACACUAUCAUUAACUGAAUCCAUAGGUUAAUGAGGCGAACCGGGGGAACUGAAACAUCUAAGUACCCCGAGGAAAAGAAAUCAACCGAGAUUCCCCCAGUAGCGGCGAGCGAACGGGGAGGAGCCCAGAGCCUGAAUCAGUGUGUGUGUUAGUGGAAGCGUCUGGAAAGGCGUGCGAUACAGGGUGACAGCCCCGUACACAAAAAUGCACAUAUUGUGAGCUCGAUGAGUAGGGCGGGACACGUGGUAUCCUGUCUGAAUAUGGGGGGACCAUCCUCCAAGGCUAAAUACUCCUGACUGACCGAUAGUGAACCAGUACCGUGAGGGAAAGGCGAAAAGAACCCCGGCGAGGGGAGUGAAAAAGAACCUGAAACCGUGUACGUACAAGCAGUGGGAGCCUCUUAAUGGGGUGACUGCGUACCUUUUGUAUAAUGGGUCAGCGACUUAUAUUCUGUAGCAAGGUUAACCGAAUAGGGGAGCCGAAGGGAAACCGAGUCUUAACUGGGCGUUAAGUUGCAGGGUAUAGACCCGAAACCCGGUGAUCUAGCCAUGGGCAGGUUGAAGGUUGGGUAACACUAACUGGAGGACCGAACCGACUAAUGUUGAAAAAUUAGCGGAUGACUUGUGGCUGGGGGUGAAAGGCCAAUCAAACCGGGAGAUAGCUGGUUCUCCCCGAAAGCUAUUUAGGUAGCGCCUCGUGAAUUCAUCUCCGGGGGUAGAGCACUGUUUCGGCAAGGGGGUCAUCCCGACUUACCAACCCGAUGCAAACUGCGAAUACCGGAGAAUGUUAUCACGGGAGACACACGGCGGGUGCUAACGUCCGUCGUGAAGAGGGAAACAACCCAGACCGCCAGCUAAGGUCCCAAAGUCAUGGUUAAGUGGGAAACGAUGUGGGAAGGCCCAGACAGCCAGGAUGUUGGCUUAGAAGCAGCCAUCAUUUAAAGAAAGCGUAAUAGCUCACUGGUCGAGUCGGCCUGCGCGGAAGAUGUAACGGGGCUAAACCAUGCACCGAAGCUGCGGCAGCGACGCUUAUGCGUUGUUGGGUAGGGGAGCGUUCUGUAAGCCUGUGAAGGUGGCCUGUGAGGGUUGCUGGAGGUAUCAGAAGUGCGAAUGCUGACAUAAGUAACGAUAAAGCGGGUGAAAAGCCCGCUCGCCGGAAGACCAAGGGUUCCUGUCCAACGUUAAUCGGGGCAGGGUGAGUCGACCCCUAAGGCGAGGCCGAAAGGCGUAGUCGAUGGGAAACAGGUUAAUAUUCCUGUACUUGGUGUUACUGCGAAGGGGGGACGGAGAAGGCUAUGUUGGCCGGGCGACGGUUGUCCCGGUUUAAGCGUGUAGGCUGGUUUUCCAGGCAAAUCCGGAAAACCAAGGCUGAGGCGUGAUGACGAGGCACUACGGUGCUGAAGCGACAAAUGCCCUGCUUCCAGGAAAAGCCUCUAAGCAUCAGGUAACAUCAAAUCGUACCCCAAACCGACACAGGUGGUCAGGUAGAGAAUACCAAGGCGCUUGAGAGAACUCGGGUGAAGGAACUAGGCAAAAUGGUGCCGUAACUUCGGGAGAAGGCACGCUGAUAUGUAGGUGAAGCGACUUGCUCGUGGAGCUGAAAUCAGUCGAAGAUACCAGCUGGCUGCAACUGUUUAUUAAAAACACAGCACUGUGCAAACACGAAAGUGGACGUAUACGGUGUGACGCCUGCCCGGUGCCGGAAGGUUAAUUGAUGGGGUUAGCGGUAACGCGAAGCUCUUGAUCGAAGCCCCGGUAAACGGCGGCCGUAACUAUAACGGUCCUAAGGUAGCGAAAUUCCUUGUCGGGUAAGUUCCGACCUGCACGAAUGGCGUAAUGAUGGCCAGGCUGUCUCCACCCGAGACUCAGUGAAAUUGAACUCGCUGUGAAGAUGCAGUGUACCCGCGGCAAGACGGAAAGACCCCGUGAACCUUUACUAUAGCUUGACACUGAACAUUGAGCCUUGAUGUGUAGGAUAGGUGGGAGGCUUUGAAGUGUGGACGCCAGUCUGCAUGGAGCCGACCUUGAAAUACCACCCUUUAAUGUUUGAUGUUCUAACGUUGGCCCGUAAUCCGGGUUGCGGACAGUGUCUGGUGGGUAGUUUGACUGGGGCGGUCUCCUCCUAAAGAGUAACGGAGGAGCACGAAGGUUGGCUAAUCCUGGUCGGACAUCAGGAGGUUAGUGCAAUGGCAUAAGCCAGCUUGACUGCGAGCGUGACGGCGCGAGCAGGUGCGAAAGCAGGUCAUAGUGAUCCGGUGGUUCUGAAUGGAAGGGCCAUCGCUCAACGGAUAAAAGGUACUCCGGGGAUAACAGGCUGAUACCGCCCAAGAGUUCAUAUCGACGGCGGUGUUUGGCACCUCGAUGUCGGCUCAUCACAUCCUGGGGCUGAAGUAGGUCCCAAGGGUAUGGCUGUUCGCCAUUUAAAGUGGUACGCGAGCUGGGUUUAGAACGUCGUGAGACAGUUCGGUCCCUAUCUGCCGUGGGCGCUGGAGAACUGAGGGGGGCUGCUCCUAGUACGAGAGGACCGGAGUGGACGCAUCACUGGUGUUCGGGUUGUCAUGCCAAUGGCACUGCCCGGUAGCUAAAUGCGGAAGAGAUAAGUGCUGAAAGCAUCUAAGCACGAAACUUGCCCCGAGAUGAGUUCUCCCUGAGACUUAGAGUCUCCUGAAGGAACGUUGAAGACGACGACGUUGAUAGGCCGGGUGUGUAAGCGCAGCGAUGCGUUGAGCUAACCGGUACUAAUGAACCGUGAGGCUUAACCU